This 427-nucleotide ribosomal RNA is filed under the name uncultured bacterium. RNAcentral's name for it is "bacterial SSU rRNA". It matches the Rfam family "Bacterial small subunit ribosomal RNA", at positions 355 to 774 of the family's 1533-position model. The record is from RNAcentral.
UGGGGAAUAUUGGACAAUGGGCGCAAGCCUGAUCCAGCAAUGCCGCGUGUGUGAAGAAGGCCUUCGGGUUGUAAAGCACUUUUAUCAGGAGCGAAACGCUGUCGGCUAAUACCCGGCGGAACUGACGGUACCUGAGGAAUAAGCACCGGCUAACUUCGUGCCAGCAGCCGCGGUAAUACGAAGGGUGCAAGCGUUAAUCGGAAUUACUGGGCGUAAAGCGUGCGUAGGCGGUGACUUAAGUCUGUUGUGAAAUCCCCGGGCUCAACCUGGGAAUGGCAGUGGAUACUGGGUCGCUAGAGUGUGAUAGAGGAUGGUGGAAUUCCCGGUGUAGCGGUGAAAUGCGUAGAGAUCGGGAGGAACAUCAGUGGCGAAGGCGGCCAUCUGGAUCAACACUGACGCUGAGGCACGAAAGCGUGGGGAGCAAACA